RNAcentral lists this ribosomal RNA (443 nucleotides) under uncultured bacterium. RNAcentral describes it as "partial 16S ribosomal RNA". It matches the Rfam family "Bacterial small subunit ribosomal RNA", at positions 338 to 795 of the family's 1533-position model. The record is from RNAcentral.
CCUACGGGAGGCAGCAGUGGGGAAUAUUGGGCAAUGGGCGCAAGCCUGACCCAGCAACGCCGCGUGAAGGAAGAAGGCUUUCGGGUUGUAAACUUCUUUUCUCAGGGACGAAGCAAGUGACGGUACCUGAGGAAUAAGCCACGGCUAACUACGUGCCAGCAGCCGCGGUAAUACGUAGGUGGCAAGCGUUAUCCGGAUUUACUGGUUGUAAAGGGCGUGUAGGCGGGAAAGCAAGUCAGAUGUGAAAACCACGGGCUCAACCUGUGGCCUGCAUUUGAAACUGUUUUUCUUGAGUACUGGAGAGGCAGACGGAAUUCCUAGUGUAGCGGUGAAAUGCGUAGAGAUUAGGAGAAACACCAGUGGCGAAGGCGGUCUGCUGGACAGCAACUGACGCUGAGGCGCGAAAGCGUGGGGAGCAAACAGGAUUAGAUACCCCUGUAGUC